UACAUUUUUUCAUUUUUUUCACUCUUAAUACAACUCUUCUUCUUCCCUUUUUUUUUUCUUUUCAACGAAAAUGCUUAGUUUUUAACCAUUCAAACCUUUUGACGCGAAUUCCAGCAUCUACCAAAUGAAGGAGUCUGGUUACUUAGCCCUCAUCGCUUAAAAAUCACAUACUCAUAGCUAUCGUUACUUUUUGAUGCAAAAGUCGACACUUUUAGUGAAGAUCACCGGUUAUUAGGUAACGAUAACUAGAAAAGUAUACCCAAAUACUAUUCAUAAAUAAGCACCAAAUUAAAAUUAAAAACCAUACAAACCCACUUCAUUUUCUAAACAUAGAGAACUCAAAUUAAUAACUGAACCAAUUUGCACAAAAAAUGUUAGACAAAUUUUUACAAUACUUAGAAAAGUUAACCAAAAAGUGCAAAAGUCACAAAAUCUUGAAUAUUUACCAAAGAGACAUCUUUAGAUUUGACCAUAUCAUACUUAAAACCUUAAAGUAUGAAAUCUUAGCAAUAGAAAAUUUUGAAAAUCCAACCAUCAUUUAUCAAAGAUAACCAUUAAUAUGCACAAAUAUAGGCAAAAAGUGGAUAAAAUUUGAAAAAAAAAAUUCCAACAAAAAAUGCCUACACUUGCACUAUUCUAAUAUACUACUUCCCCUACAUCUAAAUCUUAUAUUGUCCCCAAUGUAAGUAAUAAAUAAUCAAAACAGAAGGAAAAAGGGACAACGAAACUUCCUUGAUCAACGAGGGGGCAUAGAUGACUACGGGUCAGAAGCAAAAGGUGGGUUAAAUCCUGCAUGAUAAAAGAAGUCGACCAAGUUUUGCGUCAUUUUGAAAAUAUAGAGCUCGAGGCAAGUAAGACGUCCAGUCAUCCACUUCAUCUCCCCUUGAAGAGUCUGGAACUGCUCAACCCAAGAAGACGGUGGAGGCAGGACGGAAGCAAAAACCCUAGGGGUUUGGUUGUGCGGCUGGGAGAGAAAAAAGGAAGAAAGAAGAAAAAGAGAGAAAGAAAGAAAAAGAAAAAAAAAGAAAGGAAAAAAAAUUUUAAUUUUUUUUUCAACCCCACUC
RNAcentral lists this long non-coding RNA (1064 nucleotides) under Coffea arabica (coffee). Its description in RNAcentral is "long non-coding RNA (CARA_LNC001833)". Lineage: Eukaryota; Viridiplantae; Streptophyta; Magnoliopsida; Gentianales; Rubiaceae. The record is from RNAcentral.